GAAAUCCCGUCGGAAUCUGGGAGGACCAUCUCCCAACCCUAAAUACUCCCUAGUGACCGAUAGUGAACCAGUACCGUGAGGGAAAGGUGAAAAGCACCCCGGGAGGGGAGUGAAAUAGAACCUGAAACCGUGCGCCUACAACAAGUUCGAGCCCGUUAAUGGGUGAGAGCGUGCCUUUUGUAGAAUGAACCGGCGAGUUACGUUAUGAUGCGAGGUUAAGUUGAAGAGACGGAGCCGUAGGGAAACCGAGUCUGAAUAGGGCGCCUUAGUAUCAUGACGUAGACCCGAAACCAUGUGACCUACCCAUGAGCAGGUUGAAGGUGCGGUAAGACGCACUGGAGGACCGAACCAGGGCACGUUGAAAAGUGCUUGGAUGACUUGUGGGUAGCGGAGAAAUUCCAAACGAACUUGGAGAUAGCUGGUUCUCUCCGAAAUAGCUUUAGGGCUAGCGUCGACAUUAGAGAUUCUUGGAGGUAGAGCACUGUUUGGGUGAGGGGUCCAUCCCGGAUUACCAAUCUCAGAUAAACUCCGAAUGCCAAUGAAUUAUGGUCGGCAGUCAGACUGCGAGUGCUAAGAUCCGUAGUCGAAAGGGAAACAGCCCAGACCACCAGCUAAGGUCCCAAAAUAAUUGUUAAGUGGAAAAGGAUGUGGGGUUGCACAGACAACUAGGAUGUUAGCUUAGAAGCAGCUAUUCAUUCAAAGAGUGCGUAAUAGCUCACUAGUCGAGUGACCCUGCGCCGAAAAUGUACCGGGGCUAAAACAAUUUACCGAAGCUGUGGAUACCUUUAUAGGUAUGGUAGGAGAGCGUUCUAUGUGUGAUGAAGGUAUACCGUGAGGAGUGCUGGAACGCAUAGAAGUGAGAAUGCCGGUAUGAGUAGCGAAAGACAGGUGAGAAUCCUGUCCACCGUAAGACUAAGGUUUCCAGGGGAAGGCUCGUCCGCCCUGGGUUAGUCGGGACCUAAGGAGAGACCGAAAGGUGUAUCCGAUGGACAACAGGUUGAUAUUCCUGUACUAGAGUAUGUAGUGAUGGAGGGACGCAGUAGGCUAACUAAAGCAGACGAUUGGAAGAGUCUGUCUAAGCAGUGAGGUGUGAAUUGAGUCAAAUGCUUAAUUCUAUAACAUUGAGCUGUGAUGGGGAGCGAAGUUUAGUAGCGAAGUUAGUGACGUCACACUGCCAAGAAAAGCUUCUAGCGUUUAAACAUACUCUACCCGUACCGCAAACCGACACAGGUAGUCGAGGCGAGUAGCCUCAGGUGAGCGAGAGAACUCUCGUUAAGGAACUCGGCAAAAUGACCCCGUAACUUCGGGAGAAGGGGUGCUGACUUAAAGUCAGCCGCAGUGAAUAGGCCCAAGCAACUGUUUAUCAAAAACACAGCUCUCUGCUAAAUCGUAAGAUGAUGUAUAGGGGGUGACGCCUGCCCGGUGCUGGAAGGUUAAGAGGAGUGCUUAGCGUAAGCGAAGGUAUGAAUUGAAGCCCCAGUAAACGGCGGCCGUAACUAUAACGGUCCUAAGGUAGCGAAAUUCCUUGUCGGGUAAGUUCCGACCCGCACGAAAGGCGUAAUGAUUUGGGCACUGUCUCAACGAGAGACUCGGUGAAAUUUUAGUACCUGUGAAGAUGCAGGUUACCCGCGACAGGACGGAAAGACCCCAUGGAGCUUUACUGCAGUUUGAUAUUGAGUGUCUGUACCACAUGUACAGGAUAGGUAGGAGUCUAAGAGAUCGGGACGCCAGUUUCGAAGGAGACGCUGUUGGGAUACUACCCUUGUGUUAUGGCCACUCUAACCCAGAUAGGUGAUCCCUAUCGGAGACAGUGUCUGACGGGCAGUUUGACUGGGGCGGUCGCCUCCUAAAAGGUAACGGAGGCGCCCAAAGGUUCCCUCAGAAUGGUUGGAAAUCAUUCGCAGAGUGUAAAGGUAUAAGGGAGCUUGACUGCGAGAGCUACAACUCGAGCAGGGACGAAAGUCGGGCUUAGUGAUCCGGUGGUUCCGUAUGGAAGGGCCAUCGCUCAACGGAUAAAAGCUACCCUGGGGAUAACAGGCUUAUCUCCCCCAAGAGUUCACAUCGACGGGGAGGUUUGGCACCUCGAUGUCGGCUCGUCGCAUCCUGGGGCUGUAGUCGGUCCCAAGGGUUGGGCUGUUCGCCCAUUAAAGCGGCACGCGAGCUGGGUUCAGAACGUCGUGAGACAGUUCGGUCCCUAUCCGUCGCGGGCGUAGGAAAUUUGAGAGGAUCUGCUCCUAGUACGAGAGGACCAGAGUGGACUUACCGCUGGUGUACCAGUUGUCUUGCCAAAGGCAUCGCUGGGUAGCUAUGUAGGGAAGGGAUAAACGCUGAAAGCAUCUAAGUGUGAAACCCACCUCAAGAUGAGAUUUCCCAUGAUUAUAUAUCAGUAAGAGCCCUGAGAGAUGAUCAGGUAGAUAGGUUAGAAGUGGAAGUGUGGCGACACAUGUAGCGGACUAAUACUAAUAGCUCGAGGACUUAUCCAA
This 2483-nucleotide ribosomal RNA is filed under the name Streptococcus pneumoniae. RNAcentral describes it as "bacterial LSU rRNA". It matches the Rfam family "Bacterial large subunit ribosomal RNA", at positions 428 to 2925 of the family's 2925-position model. Lineage: Bacteria; Bacillati; Bacillota; Bacilli; Lactobacillales; Streptococcaceae. The record is from RNAcentral.